RNAcentral lists this ribosomal RNA (433 nucleotides) under uncultured bacterium. RNAcentral describes it as "partial 16S ribosomal RNA". It matches the Rfam family "Bacterial small subunit ribosomal RNA", at positions 29 to 507 of the family's 1533-position model. The record is from RNAcentral.
AACGAACGCUGGCGGCAUGCCUAACACAUGCAAGUCGAACGAGACCUUCGGGUCUAGUGGCGCACGGGUGCGUAACGCGUGGGAACCUGCCCUUAGGUUCGGAAUAACUCCCCGAAAGGGGUGCUAAUACCGGAUAAUGUCUUCGGACCAAAGAUUUAUCGCCUUUGGAUGGGCCCGCGUUGGAUUAGCUAGUUGGUAGGGUAAAAGCCUACCAAGGCGACGAUCCAUAGCUGGUCUGAGAGGAUGAUCAGCCACACUGGGACUGAGACACGGCCCAGACUCCUACGGGAGGCAGCAGUGGGGAAUAUUGGACAAUGGGCGAAAGCAUGAUCCAGCAAUGACGCGUGAGUGAUGAAGGCCUUAGGGUUGUAAAGCUCUUUUACCCGGGAUGAUAAUGACAGUACCGGGAGAAUAAGCUCCGGCUAACUCCGUG